UUCCUGGACAGUAUUUGAACAAGUCGUAUUUUACUAAAGGACUCGUGGAUUGCGGGGUCCCACGACAUCACCUCAUCGAUGCAGUCGAUGGUUUGUUCCAGAUUCAGGCUUGUUUCCGGGAAGAAACCCUGACAGAAAUUCAGAAGAACGGGAGCUGCAUUCCGUUAGGACGUGAAUACACGAAAUGUUUGUCUCAGGACCUUCUAGAAGAAUGAGCUGGGACCCACUAUCCGAGUCCUGCUGGAACCAGAGACCGGGAAAAUAAAAAGGCCCUGAAAGACAAGUGUAAUGCAUUGAGGUCUGUGAAAGCCACAAAGGAAGCAAAAGUCAAACAGCUGAAGGAGAAAGCACAUAACCUGGAAGAAUUCUAUAAACAAAGAAAAGUGCCUAC
Molecule: long non-coding RNA, 391 nt
Organism: Leopardus geoffroyi (Geoffroy's cat)
Lineage: Eukaryota; Metazoa; Chordata; Mammalia; Carnivora; Felidae
Exons: 2
Source: RefSeq, a predicted model, not a curated record